CAGGGCUACUGCAAUAGCCUCCUAACGGGUCUUUUUGUUGUAAGAUGAAGAAAGUGAGACAUAGAAAAGUUGGACAACUUGCUCACCCAGCUUAAAGUGGCAGAGCCAGUAUCAAACUGAAAUCAAGAUUUCUGACUCUGAGCCCAGCGCUUAGUUACUGUAGCACUGCAUACAGCACCCGCCCCCAUCUCCCGCCCUGUGGAAGGAGGCAGAAAGAAGACAUGCAGAAAAAACAUCCCAGGCCCUGGACAGUGUGCUCAGUGAACUGAAGUUCCAGAGAAAGCUGAGACCUGUCUGUCCUGUUUACAGUUUUAUUCCCAGCACUUGGUAUCAGUUCCUGGAUCCUAAUGGGCUGGUAAAGGAAAGAAUGAGGAGGGAGUUGUGCAGUGAGCAGUUUUCACCGUGAGGGCUUA
Long non-coding RNA from Eptesicus fuscus (big brown bat), 413 nucleotides. RefSeq lists it as uncharacterized. The transcript is spliced from 3 exons. The record is from RefSeq and is a predicted model, not a curated record. NCBI's taxonomy places the organism in Eukaryota, Metazoa, Chordata, Mammalia, Chiroptera, Vespertilionidae.